RNAcentral lists this ribosomal RNA (440 nucleotides) under uncultured bacterium. Its description in RNAcentral is "partial 16S ribosomal RNA". It matches the Rfam family "Bacterial small subunit ribosomal RNA", at positions 338 to 795 of the family's 1533-position model. The record is from RNAcentral.
CCUACGGGUGGCUGCAGUAGGGAAUAUUGCGCAAUGGGGGAAACCCUGACGCAGCAACGCCGCGUGGAGGAUGAAGGUUUUCGGAUUGUAAACUCCUUUUAUUAGAGAAGAUAAUGACGGUAUCUAACGAAUAAGCACCGGCUAACUCCGUGCCAGCAGCCGCGGUAAUACGUAGGGGGCAAGCGUUACUCGGAAUCACUGGGCGUAAAGAGCGCGUAGGCGGGAUGGCAAGUCAGAUGUGAAAUCUUAUGGCUUAACCAUAGAACUGCAUUUGAAACUGUUCUUCUAGAGUAUGGGAGAGGUAGGUGGAAUUCUUGGUGUAGGGGUAAAAUCCGUAGAGAUACAGAGGAAUACUAAUUGCGAAGGCGAACUGCUAGAACAUAACUGACGCUGAUGCGCGAAAGCGUGGGGAGCAAACAGGAUUAGAUACCCCAGUAGUC